RNAcentral lists this ribosomal RNA (403 nucleotides) under Enterobacter sp. CK13. RNAcentral describes it as "bacterial SSU rRNA". It matches the Rfam family "Bacterial small subunit ribosomal RNA", at positions 989 to 1391 of the family's 1533-position model. The record is from RNAcentral. Lineage: Bacteria; Pseudomonadati; Pseudomonadota; Gammaproteobacteria; Enterobacterales; Enterobacteriaceae.
AAAAGAACUUAGCAGAGAUGCUUUGGUGCCUUCGGGAACUCUGAGACAGGUGCUGCAUGGCUGUCGUCAGCUCGUGUUGUGAAAUGUUGGGUUAAGUCCCGCAACGAGCGCAACCCUUAUCCUUUGUUGCCAGCGGUUCGGCCGGGAACUCAAAGGAGACUGCCAGUGAUAAACUGGAGGAAGGUGGGGAUGAACGUCAAGUCAUCAUGGCCCUUACGAGUAGGGCUCUUUUUUUUUACAAUGGCGUAUACAAAGAGAACACCUCGCGAGAGCAAGCGGACCUCAUAAAGUACGUCGUAGUCCGGAUUGGAGUCUGCAACUCGACUCCAUGAAGUCGGGAAUCGCUAGUAAUCGGUAGAUCAGAAUGCCUACGGUGAAUACGUUCCCGGGCCUUGUACACACC